This 23-nucleotide small nuclear RNA is filed under the name Arabidopsis thaliana (thale cress). RNAcentral describes it as "snRNA_05682". Lineage: Eukaryota; Viridiplantae; Streptophyta; Magnoliopsida; Brassicales; Brassicaceae. The record is from RNAcentral.
ACGGUUCAUCCCAAUAGUAAUGG